This is a non-coding RNA of Coturnix japonica (Japanese quail), 426 nucleotides long. NCBI's taxonomy places the organism in Eukaryota, Metazoa, Chordata, Aves, Galliformes, Phasianidae. The record is from RefSeq and is a predicted model, not a curated record.
AAGACCCCCUUUGGGUCCUCCAAGACCCCUUUUAGGUCCUCCAAGACCCCCUUUAGGUCCUCCAAGACCCCCUUUGGGUCCUCCAAGACUCCUUUAGGUCCUCCAAGACCCCCUUUGGGUCCUCCAAGACCCCCUUUGGGUCCUCCAAGACCCCCUUUGGGUCCUCCAAGCACCACCAAUGGGAUCAGAGCUGGGAUUGGGGGUGGAAAUGGGGGCUAUAGGGAGGAACUGGGGGUCUUUUAGGGGGGUCUCAAUGGUAACAGACACCCAGAACUCCAUACAGUGAUACAGACCAGCAUCAUUUAUUACAGUGGGUGGGUUGGGACGUUGUAGGACAGAGAGGAUCCAAACCAGUGGGUCCUCCAAGACCCCCCUUAUGGGUCCUCCAAGUACCAUCAAUGGGAUCAGAGCCGGGAUUGGGGGGGG